Molecule: transfer RNA, 75 nt
Filed under: Conus consors
Lineage: Eukaryota; Metazoa; Mollusca; Gastropoda; Neogastropoda; Conidae
Description: tRNA-Asn
Source: RNAcentral
UGUAUAAAUGAAAGCCAAAAUAGAGGUGCCUAGCUGUUAAUUAGGAGAUUGUAGUGAAUAGUCUACUCAUUUAGU